GACACAUCAGCCUAUCAGCAGCAGAGCUCACAUUUGGUCACAUCGAGGCAUUGACCAGGAAGCCUCAGCAGUCAGAGGAACUCAACUUCCUGUCAGUGUUCUACAUUGAAAGCCUUCUGUUCCUGCUCAGACUUUUAUUUUGAAGGUCUCUAAUAUUAAAGACCUAUUUGAUAUCAGCUGUGAGGGUCCUUUAAUGGAUAGGACAGACAAGUGUGAAGGAGAGAGGGAGAGACAUGCAGCAAAGGGCCACAGGCUGGAGUCGAACCCGGGCCACUGCGGCAGCAGCCUUGUACAUGGGACGCCUGCUCUAUCCACUAAGCCACCGACGCCCCGUGAUAUUGGGCUUUAUAAAUAACACUGACGGAUUUUUGUACAUUUUUGGAUCGGUGUGACGGGUUCUUCCUGUUCUGUUGACGUGGCAUGAACGCAGCUGAUCGCAGGUCGCCUGAAUCGUUUCAACAGAAUUAAAACUUUUACUGGAGACGGAGAACAAAGAAUCAACUGGGCUGAAACAUUUUAAUAAAUCAAGAUGUAAAUAUGUCACUUCCUAUAUGAACGAGGCUUUGUGUCACUUCCUGUCACCUGCCCUGAGAGAGGAUCCAUGUGAGACACAGACCUCACCUGUGCUGAUGGACAUGUCCCUGAGGUUGGGUUAGAGUCCUAAAGGACGUUACAAUGUUCAGACUGAGAUUGGAGGACAGGUGGAGGACAGGUGGAGUGGAGGACAGGUGGAGGACAGGUAGAGGACAGGUGGAGGACAGGUGGAGUGGAGGACAGGUGGAGGACAGGUAGAGGACAGGUGGAGGACAGGUGGAGGACAGGUGGAGUGGAGGACAGGUGGAGGACAGGUAGAAGACAGGUGGAGGACAGGUGGAGUGGAGGACAGGUGGAGGACAGGUAGAGUGGAGGACAGGUGGAGGACAGGUAGAGUGGAGGACAGGUGGAGGACAGGUGGAGGACAGGUGGAGUGGAGGACAGGAGGAGGACAGGAGGAGGACAGGUGGAGGACAGGUGGAGGACAGGUGGAGUGGAGGACAGGUGGAGGACAGGAGGAGGACAGGAGGAGGACAGGUGGAGGACAGGUGGAGGACAGGUGGAGUGGAGGACAGGUGGAGGACAGGAGGAGGACAGGAGGAGGACAGGUGGAGGACAGGUGGAGUGGAGGACAGGUGGAGGACAGGAGGAGGACAGGAGGAGGACAGGUGGAGGACAGGAG
This is a long non-coding RNA of Epinephelus fuscoguttatus (brown-marbled grouper), 1216 nucleotides long. RefSeq lists it as uncharacterized. The transcript has 4 exons. The record is from RefSeq and is a predicted model, not a curated record. NCBI's taxonomy places the organism in Eukaryota, Metazoa, Chordata, Actinopteri, Perciformes, Serranidae.